Long non-coding RNA from Ictalurus punctatus (channel catfish), 645 nucleotides. The record is from Ensembl. Lineage: Eukaryota; Metazoa; Chordata; Actinopteri; Siluriformes; Ictaluridae.
CAAUGAUCGACACUGAACAAAUGUUUAAGAGCUGUCUGUGCAUAUUAGAUAGUGCAACCUAACAGUUUACUUAACAGAGGUCCUCAGAAAGAGUGUGUAUGUUUGUGUGUGGACAUUUUGAGUCUGCUGGGAUAUGUGCUAUGACCUUAAGGAAAUGCAGUCAGGAUCGCAGGGAGCUUGGAGCCUACAUCCCAGAGGACUCCCAAGGUGGGGGACACCCUGGACCCAUCGCAGGGCACAUUCACACACAUUACGGAGAAUUUGGGAAUGCGAAUCAGCCUACAAGGCGUGUCUUUGGACUGGGGAGGAAACUGGAGUACCCGGAGGAAACCCCCAAAUCAUGUGAAGAACAUGCAAGCUCCAUACAGUCAAACCCCCAACUCCGGAGGUGCUAGGCAAAUGUGCUAACCACUAAUUCACCGUGCUGCCCAUCUACAGGAAACUUAAGCAUAGACGUGUUCCCAGGAUAGGCUCCAAGUCCACUGUAACCCUGGCUAGGAGAAAGUGGUUACUGCUGAUUAAUGCUUGUAUCUUUCUCAUUUGUAAGUCGCUUUGGAUAAAAGCGUCUGCUAAGUGAAUAAAUGUAAUGUAAUGUAAUGUAAUGUAAUGAAUAUAUAUUGUUUUCAUAAAAAAAACUAAAAAUAG